Molecule: microRNA precursor, 60 nt
Filed under: Daphnia pulex (common water flea)
Lineage: Eukaryota; Metazoa; Arthropoda; Branchiopoda; Diplostraca; Daphniidae
Description: Dpu-Mir-12604_pre stem-loop
Source: RNAcentral
CCAGUUUUACAUACCCCAUAGAAUGUAUUUAAUAUCUCUGGGUUAUGAUUAAGACUGGGC